AUCUAAUAAGAAGAGAUAGGUGCCCGCAAGGGCUUAAUAGGGAAGUUCGGUUGAAUGCCGGCGCGGUCCCGCCACUGUAUUGGUGAGUGACUUCAAGUUUAUGCCACUGGGAUGGAAAUCCUGGGAAGGUUUGAAGGAGCGAUGAUCCAGAGCCAGGAGAACUGCCUAUUUGACAAUCGCCGU
RNAcentral lists this non-coding RNA (183 nucleotides) under Pelosinus fermentans. The record is from RNAcentral. Lineage: Bacteria; Bacillati; Bacillota; Negativicutes; Selenomonadales; Sporomusaceae.